Molecule: ribosomal RNA, 2247 nt
Filed under: Salmonella enterica subsp. enterica serovar Typhi str. CT18
Lineage: Bacteria; Pseudomonadati; Pseudomonadota; Gammaproteobacteria; Enterobacterales; Enterobacteriaceae
Description: partial 23S ribosomal RNA
Rfam family: Bacterial large subunit ribosomal RNA
Source: RNAcentral
CCCGAAACCCGGUGAUCUAGCCAUGGGCAGGUUGAAGGUUGGGUAACACUAACUGGAGGACCGAACCGACUAAUGUUGAAAAAUUAGCGGAUGACCUGUGGCUGGGGGUGAAAGGCCAAUCAAACCGGGAGAUAGCUGGUUCUCCCCGAAAGCUAUUUAGGUAGCGCCUCGUGAAUUCAUCUCCGGGGGUAGAGCACUGUUUCGGCUAGGGGGCCAUCCCGGCUUACCAACCCGAUGCAAACUGCGAAUACCGGAGAAUGUUAUCACGGGAGACACACGGCGGGUGCUAAUGUCCGUCGUGAAGAGGGAAACAACCCAGACCGCCAGCUAAGGUCCCAAAGUCAUGGUUAAGUGGGAAACGAUGUGGGAAGGCCCAGACAGCCAGGAUGUUGGCUUAGAAGCAGCCAUCAUUUAAAGAAAGCGUAAUAGCUCACUGGUCGAGUCGGCCUGCGCGGAAGAUGUAACGGGGCUAAACCAUGCACCGAAGCUGCGGCAGCGACACCGUGUGUUGUUGGGUAGGGGAGCGUUCUGUAAGCCUGUGAAGGUGUGCUGUGAGGCAUGCUGGAGGUAUCAGAAGUGCGAAUGCUGACAUAAGUAACGAUAAAGCGGGUGAAAAGCCCGCUCGCCGGAAGACCAAGGGUUCCUGUCCAACGUUAAUCGGGGCAGGGUGAGUCGACCCCUAAGGCGAGGCCGAAAGGCGUAGUCGAUGGGAAACGGGUUAAUAUUCCCGUACUUGGUGUUACUGCGAAGGGGGGACGGAGAAGGCUAUGUUGGCCGGGCGACGGUUGUCCCGGUUUAAGCGUGUAGGUAUGUGUUCCAGGUAAAUCCGGUUCACUUUAACACUGAGGCGUGACGACGAGGCACUACGGUGCUGAAGCAACAAAUGCCCUGCUUCCAGGAAAAGCCUCUAAGCAUCAGGUAACAUCAAAUCGUACCCCAAACCGACACAGGUGGUCAGGUAGAGAAUACCAAGGCGCUUGAGAGAACUCGGGUGAAGGAACUAGGCAAAAUGGUGCCGUAACUUCGGGAGAAGGCACGCUGACACGUAGGUGAAGUGAUUUACUCACGGAGCUGAAGUCAGCCGAAGAUACCAGCUGGCUGCAACUGUUUAUUAAAAACACAGCACUGUGCAAACACGAAAGUGGACGUAUACGGUGUGACGCCUGCCCGGUGCCGGAAGGUUAAUUGAUGGGGUCAGCGCAAGCGAAGCUCCUGAUCGAAGCCCCGGUAAACGGCGGCCGUAACUAUAACGGUCCUAAGGUAGCGAAAUUCCUUGUCGGGUAAGUUCCGACCUGCACGAAUGGCGUAAUGAUGGCCAGGCUGUCUCCACCCGAGACUCAGUGAAAUUGAACUCGCUGUGAAGAUGCAGUGUACCCGCGGCAAGACGGAAAGACCCCGUGAACCUUUACUAUAGCUUGACACUGAACAUUGAGCCUUGAUGUGUAGGAUAGGUGGGAGGCUUUGAAGUGUGGACGCCAGUCUGCAUGGAGCCGACCUUGAAAUACCACCCUUUAAUGUUUGAUGUUCUAACGUGGACCCGUGAUCCGGGUUGCGGACAGUGUCUGGUGGGUAGUUUGACUGGGGCGGUCUCCUCCUAAAGAGUAACGGAGGAGCACGAAGGUUGGCUAAUCCUGGUCGGACAUCAGGAGGUUAGUGCAAUGGCAUAAGCCAGCUUGACUGCGAGCGUGACGGCGCGAGCAGGUGCGAAAGCAGGUCAUAGUGAUCCGGUGGUUCUGAAUGGAAGGGCCAUCGCUCAACGGAUAAAAGGUACUCCGGGGAUAACAGGCUGAUACCGCCCAAGAGUUCAUAUCGACGGCGGUGUUUGGCACCUCGAUGUCGGCUCAUCACAUCCUGGGGCUGAAGUAGGUCCCAAGGGUAUGGCUGUUCGCCAUUUAAAGUGGUACGCGAGCUGGGUUUAGAACGUCGUGAGACAGUUCGGUCCCUAUCUGCCGUGGGCGCUGGAGAACUGAGGGGGGCUGCUCCUAGUACGAGAGGACCGGAGUGGACGCAUCACUGGUGUUCGGGUUGUCAUGCCAAUGGCACUGCCCGGUAGCUAAAUGCGGAAGAGAUAAGUGCUGAAAGCAUCUAAGCACGAAACUUGCCCCGAGAUGAGUUCUCCCUGAGACUUUAGGUCUCCUGAAGGAACGUUGAAGACGACGACGUUGAUAGGCCGGGUGUGUAAGCGCAGCGAUGCGUUGAGCUAACCGGUACUAAUGAACCGUGAGGCUUAACCUUACAACGCCGAAG